Molecule: ribosomal RNA, 252 nt
Filed under: uncultured bacterium
Lineage: Bacteria
Description: partial 16S ribosomal RNA
Rfam family: Bacterial small subunit ribosomal RNA
Source: RNAcentral
UACGUAGGGGGCAAGCGUUGUCCGGAAUUAUUGGGCGUAAAGCGCGCGCAGGCGGUUAUUUAAGUCUGGUGUUUAAACCUUGGGCUCAACCUGAGGUCGCACUGGAAACUGGGUAACUUGAGUACAGAAGAGGAAAGUGGAAUUCCACGUGUAGCGGUGAAAUGCGUAGAUAUGUGGGGGAACACCAGUGGCGAAGGCGACUUUCUGGGCUGUAACUGACGCUGAGGCGCGAAAGCGUGGGGAGCAAACAGG